Molecule: ribosomal RNA, 497 nt
Filed under: uncultured bacterium
Lineage: Bacteria
Description: partial 16S ribosomal RNA
Rfam family: Bacterial small subunit ribosomal RNA
Source: RNAcentral
GAUGAACGCUGGCGGCGUGCCUAAUACAUGCAAGUCGAGCGAACAGACGAGGAGCUUGCUCCUUUGACGUUAGCGGCGGACGGGUGAGUAACACGUGGGUAACCUACCUAUAAGACUGGGAUAACUUCGGGAAACCGGAGCUAAUACCGGAUAAUAUUUCGAACCGCAUGGUUCGAUAGUGAAAGAUGGCUUUGCUAUCACUUAUAGAUGGACCUGCGCCGUAUUAGCUAGUUGGUAAGGUAACGGCUUACCAAGGCAACGAUACGUAGCCGACCUGAGAGGGUGAUCGGCCACACUGGAACUGAGACACGGUCCAGACUCCUACGGGAGGCAGCAGUAGGGAAUCUUCCGCAAUGGGCGAAAGCCUGACGGAGCAACGCCGCGUGAGUGAUGAAGGUCUUCGGAUCGUAAAACUCUGUUAUUAGGGAAGAACAAACGUGUUAGUAACUGUGCACGUCUUGACGGUACCUAAUCAGAAAGCCACGGCUAACUACGUG